AAGUCGUAACAAGGUAACCGUAGGUGAACCUGCGGUUGGAUCAUUAGCGUUUUUAGCAGCGCGCCGUUGUUGUGACCGUUUGUGGAGGGUAGUGUUUCGUUUUGUGUGUUUUGUCUUUUGUGUUUGUCUUGUGUUUUGUCGUUUGUCUUUUGGUUGGUGUUUGUCGUUUGACUUGUCGUUUGUGUUUCAUCUAUAUUUAUAUCUAUAUCUAUAUCUAUGACCACAUCGACAUGGACAUCGACAUGUCCAUCGACAUGGACAUCGACAACCACAAGCCUCAUGGACAUCGACAUGGACAUGGACAACCACAAACCUCAUGGACAGCCACUUCCAAAACUGAAACACGACUCUCGACUACACGCCAAUAAACACUUUUCUUUGCUUUGAUUUCGACUAAACUAAAACAACUUUUGACAACGGAUCUCUUGGCUCUC
This 434-nucleotide unclassified non-coding RNA is filed under the name fungal sp. RNAcentral's name for it is "partial internal transcribed spacer region". The stretch from base 1 to 46 matches the Rfam family "Eukaryotic small subunit ribosomal RNA", at positions 1786 to 1831 of the family's 1831-position model. The record is from RNAcentral. Lineage: Eukaryota; Fungi.